RNAcentral lists this long non-coding RNA (2756 nucleotides) under Homo sapiens (human). Its description in RNAcentral is "HSALNT0315769". Lineage: Eukaryota; Metazoa; Chordata; Mammalia; Primates; Hominidae. The record is from RNAcentral.
AGGCUACACCUCAAAUACGGAUUGAAUUUUCGCAUGAGUUUUGAGGGACACCCAUUCAAAGCAUAGCACCCUUCGGCUUCAGAGAAGCUCCAGCCCUGUUGUCACCAAGCAGGUUCCCCCUAGGCAGAGCGCCAAGAAGCAGCCCAGGCGAUCCCAAGGCGCACAAGUGCUCUCACCAGGCUGCGCGCUGGCGGGUCGGUGCACAGGGACGGGGUCGCCGCCCACGCGCGCUUGGUUCAGGGAGCCCAGGCUGUCCCUACCCGCGGCUACAAAAGCUCGCCGAGUCUUCCUGUCCACCCAAUCGCCCCACAUGUCAGCGGUUGGUCGCCUCGCGGUGCAGUGCUGGGCACGCGAGCCCCUCCCGCAGUCAUUCUCAGCACAAGCACCAGCCUGGAGCCCCGCAGCGACAGAGCUGAGAGCCCCCAAGCCGCAGAGGUCGUGCGGAGCAGGUUGGUCUAAUUGAAGGCAAUGGAGAAGUAAGUCUUUAUGGAUCAAAAUCUUAGCUCUAGAAAAGUUGCCCUUGGCUAUAAAGCCUGAAGUGGGUGUUGGAGUAGUCAACGACUAACCCAGGAUGGAUUUGUGCCAAUACACAAGUGACAACAUCUUUCACAGCUGAAGAGUCGGAGGAUAAAGCCAUGCCCACAGAUCGUUGUCACACAGAUUUGAUUAAGUGAAACAAAGCCCCAGCUGCUGGAGCAGAGGUUCCACUUGGGUUCCACAGACACCCACAGCCCAAAUCCCUGGAGGCCUAAGGCAAUAGCUAAUUGAGACUAUGCAUCACUAUUAAGGCAUCUUCACUAAAGGGCGCUGUGGAAACGCUGCCUGAGAUGCAGACACCUGUCAGAAGGGGGCUAAAUUUCAAACAAGGAACGUGGUGUUGCAUCACAAUAAAGUAGAUUCUAGUAUUACCUUCCUUUUUCAGAAGAGGAGACCAAUGGGGAGCAUUGGAAUGAUUUGGUUGCAAGCAUACUACACUACUUGUAAACUGCAGACACAGGCUUAAAAAAAGUGAAAAACUAACCAUGCAAUAAAGAAUGGAAUGAACCAUGAAGCUGUUUCUGUGGCCAGUCAUGUUUUUGAAGCAUAUCCCAUGCUAAUUUCUAGAACAGAAGAAACACACGUGUUCUUGUGUGUAAACCCAGUCCAUGGAAGAGACCGUCUGCUUGUCCCUCCUGAUCUCUGGGCCCAGACAACCAGUAGUCACCAUUCCAAGUGAGGGGUGGCUGCAACUCUACAGCCCCGUUCGUCUCUCCUCACUGUCAAAGCUGCUGAGACCCCAGACUCGACACUUGAAAGAAACCCAUGUCUGUGAAGCACUUGUGGACCAUUCAAGAUUGUGGAAGAAUCACUCAAGAGAAGGAGAUAGCAAUAUUUGCAGAUAUGCAAACUGGCCCCUUGCAUGCACAUCCUGGAGCACGUCCUGGAGCCUUUAGAGGAGACGGCUGCUGCUGUUCCAGUCUCUCCUUAGGCAGACUUGAGUUUCUACCCACUCUUCCCAAGCAGCCGCCCCUCCGCACCCGAGCGAGCCAAAGACCUGGCGGGCUGAGUACUCACUGCGCGCUGGACACAUGCUGAGCCGGCACUGCAGGGACACAGGGCGAGCCGCUGGAUGCAGACCUGUGGCCGCGGCAGUUGGGCUUAUCUUGCCCAUGAAGUUGCCUCUGAAGAACCAAGUCCAACUGUGUAUGCUGAGAGAUGUCUGGCUACUUCCUGAUUGACAGUUCUGGCAAGGUGGCAUUGGGCCCUGGCUUUUCCUCUGGAGGCAUCAUCACUUAUAGGAAAAUGUCCCCUGAAGUCCAAGGAUCAAAGCUGCUGGAACACUGAGAAGCUGAACAAAGGAGAACUGUUUCUCAUCAAACCCAGACUUCCAGACUUCCAAUAGGGUAGAAUGAGCAAGUCAGCAAAUCAUCUUCCUUGGAAACAGUGAUAAAACUAGAUGACAUUGUCAACAACAGCCAUUUCAGAAAUCUAGAAAAUGACCAAAGGCAAACAACAAACUGAGAAGCAUUUUUUUUUCCAUGAAAAAUCGCUCUAUUUCUGCAAAAAUAGUGGGAGUCUAUGGCUUCUCAUCCAGGGCUGUUUCUCUCCCCACCCCAGCUCAGUCAGUACAAAGGUUCUGGCAGCAUGAGGCAGACUGAACAGACCUGAAGUUUGAUUGCUGGAAGAAACUGACUCCAGGUUUGGCAGAGGGUGAGAAACCUACUCCCAGCCAUGUUGUCUGGUGACACAGUGACCUUAGGGACAAGUGAAUAGGGAAGGCCAGUGAUUCAUUAACCUGAGGUUGCAGUCCUGGUUGGGGAAAGCAUCAGAAUGGCAGAUAAGCUAGAAAUUUAGUAGGGAUAUGCUGGAAAUGAGACAACCCCAAAGGGGCUUGACCCCAAAGUUGUCCACACACCCCAGCUGCCUUCUGAGCAGAUGUAGGGAGAGACCAGAGAAGGCCUAGGCUAUCCACACAUCUCUGGCUAACCCAGGCUGUAAACCUGUGGAGGAGACACAAGAGGUGGAUUGAUUGCUAAUGGGCAUAUGGGGGAUCUUACUGGUUGAUAGGAACAUUCUCAAAUUGGAUUGUGGUGAUGCUUGCACAACUCUAAGUUUAUCCCAAAUUGCUAAAUUUUACACUAAAAAGGGGUGAACUUUAGGGUAUAUAAAUUAUACAUCAAUAAAGUUGUCAUAAAGCAUUCACAUUCUAAUAAAUGGCUCUAAGAAAUAUUGUUUUGAAAAUUUUCCUUUGGUAUAUUAUGGCACUCCAAAAUCAA